UUAAUACCGGAUAGAUCAAAGAAACUGGAAUGUUCUCUGGUCUAAAACUACGGUGCCCAAGGAUGGGUCUGCGGCCUAUCAGGUAGUAGUGGGUGUAACGCACCUACCAGCCUACGACGGGUAAGGGUUGUGAGAGCAAGAGCCCUGAGAUGGAUUCUGAGACAUGAAUCCAGGCCCUACGGGGUGCAGCAGGCGCGAAAACUUUACAAUGCGGGAAACCGCGAUAAGGGGACCCCGAGUGCCAGCACCUAGUGCUGGCUGUCCAGCUGUCCAAAUAACAGUUGUUAGCAAGGGCCGGGCAAGACCGGUGCCAGCCGCCGCGGUAACACCGGCGGCCCGAGUGGUAGCCGUUAUUAUUGGGUUUAAAGGGUCCGUAGCCGGACUAUUAAGUCUCUUGAGAAAUCUGGCGACUCAAUCGUCAGGCGUUCA
RNAcentral lists this ribosomal RNA (429 nucleotides) under uncultured archaeon. RNAcentral describes it as "bacterial SSU rRNA". It matches the Rfam family "Archaeal small subunit ribosomal RNA", at positions 146 to 576 of the family's 1478-position model. The record is from RNAcentral.